UUUACUAUCACACCCAUUUAAUCUGGAUGGGAUGAAGAUGAUUAAACAGCUCAAGGAAAGCCAACUAAAUCAGAGAGUUUGAUCGUAUGGAAGGAAAGCUUACUCAGCUCAACCAGCUCGUGGAGUAGCUCGAAUUAGCUAGCGGAGUAGUUCAACUGGCUUAAGAAGCUCAACUAGCAAAGUGAGUAACCCAGCUAGCUCCAAUAGUAGCUUUGUAUAUAAAUAAGUAACAAAGGUUUAAGAUCCUGUUUCAUUGUCUACAUAAUAAUAUACAUUGUUGUAGAGAACCUAUUUAUUUAUUUAAUUUACUUUAGAAACCAUACUAAUAAAUUAAAAAUGAACUUAUCUAACUAUAAGUUUAUAAUAAGUUAAUAACUACCCAAACAACCUCAUCAUAUUAGAUUUAGAGCGGUAGAGCAAACCUACUUUCUAGUUUCUUGAACAACAAAAAUAUCUGUUUUUCAAAACUGCAGCAAUCCUCAACUUUACUUUCACCAAAAAUCCGAAUUUAGAAUUUAUAAUGAUGAUCCUCCCUCAACUUCACCUGUAGUAAUCUGAAUUGUACCCCUCUUCAACUUCACAAUUCAAUUCCUAGAAUAAAUUCCUGCAAAAAAAACAAAACAAUUCUAUUGUUAGAUUUUAAUAAAAUCAUAAUUUUAUGUUAAACUCAAACUCAUAUUAUGUUUUACCAUCAGAGGAGCUCAUCAUAGGUUUCGAUGAAGGCGAUGAACGUCGUGAAGGAGUAUCGAUCCGUCCAUCUACU
RNAcentral lists this long non-coding RNA (763 nucleotides) under Zostera marina. Its description in RNAcentral is "long non-coding RNA (ZMAR_LNC000077)". The record is from RNAcentral. Lineage: Eukaryota; Viridiplantae; Streptophyta; Magnoliopsida; Alismatales; Zosteraceae.